CCUACGGGGUGCAGCAGUGGGGAAUAUUGGGCAAUGGGCGCAAGCCUGACCCAGCAACGCCGCGUGAAGGAAGAAGGCUUUCGGGUCGUAAAGUUCUUUCGACAGGGAAGAAAAUGCCUAUAAUUAACUGUGUAUGUAUUGACGGUACCUGUAUAAGCAGCCCCGGCUAACUCCGUGCCAGCAGCCGCGGUAAUACGGAGGGGGCGAGCGUUGUUCGGAGUGACUGGGCGUAAAGAGCACGUAGGCGGUGUUGUAAGUCAUUAGUCAAAGACUAGAGCUCAACUUUAGUAAGGCUAGUGAUAUUAUAAUACUAGAGUAUCAGAGAGGAUUGCAGAAUUCCUGGUGUAGCGGUGAAAUGCGUAGAUAUCAGGAGGAAUACCGUUAGCGAAGGCGGCAAUCUGGCUGGAAACUGACGCUGAGGUGCGAAAGCGUGGGUAGCAAACAGGAUUAGAUACCCUAGUAGUC
Molecule: ribosomal RNA, 465 nt
Filed under: uncultured bacterium
Lineage: Bacteria
Description: partial 16S ribosomal RNA
Rfam family: Bacterial small subunit ribosomal RNA
Source: RNAcentral